Non-coding RNA from Podarcis lilfordi (Lilford's wall lizard), 72 nucleotides. The record is from the annotation of a GenBank genome assembly. Lineage: Eukaryota; Metazoa; Chordata; Lepidosauria; Squamata; Lacertidae.
AGGCCUGUAGCACUGUGGUAGAGCAUGUGCUUGGCAUGCAGAAUGAUCCAGGUUCAAUCCCUAGCAGGGCUG